CAGCAGCCGCGGUAAUACAGAGACUGCAAGCGUUAUUCGGAUUCACUGGGCGUAAAGGGUGCGCAGGUGGCCAAGUGUGUCAGGUGUGAAAUCCCGGGGCUUAACUCCGGAACUGCGCCUGAAACUGCUUGGCUAGAGCAUUGGAGAGGGAAGUGGAAUUCACGGUGUAGCAGUGAAAUGCGUAGAUAUCGUGAGGAACACCAGAGGCGAAGGCGACUUCCUGGACAAUUGCUGACACUCAGGCACGAAAGCGUGGGUAGCCAAAGGGAUUAGAUACCCCUGUAGUCCACGCCCUAAACGGUGCAUACUAGGUCUUGGAGGAUUCGACCCCUUCAGGGCCCAGGCUAACGCGUUAAGUAUGCCGCCUGAGGACUACGGCCGCAAGGCUAAAACUCAAAG
RNAcentral lists this ribosomal RNA (399 nucleotides) under uncultured bacterium. Its description in RNAcentral is "bacterial SSU rRNA". It matches the Rfam family "Bacterial small subunit ribosomal RNA", at positions 509 to 906 of the family's 1533-position model. The record is from RNAcentral.